GGAUAUAGCUGAGUUGGCAAAGUGCUUGCCUCACAUGCACAUGGCCUUGAGUUCAAUCCCCAGCACCA
RNAcentral lists this transfer RNA (68 nucleotides) under Marmota monax (woodchuck). Its description in RNAcentral is "tRNA.Val". The record is from RNAcentral. Lineage: Eukaryota; Metazoa; Chordata; Mammalia; Rodentia; Sciuridae.